Molecule: ribosomal RNA, 461 nt
Filed under: uncultured Rhizobacter sp.
Lineage: Bacteria; Pseudomonadati; Pseudomonadota; Betaproteobacteria; Burkholderiales; Sphaerotilaceae
Description: bacterial SSU rRNA
Rfam family: Bacterial small subunit ribosomal RNA
Source: RNAcentral
CGGGAGGCUGCAGUGGGGAAUUUUGGACAAUGGGCGCAAGCCUGAUCCAGCCAUGCCGCGUGUGGGAAGAAGGCCUUCGGGUUGUAAACCACUUUUGUCAGGGAAGAAACGGUCUGUCCUAAUACGGCGGACUAAUGACGGUACCUGAAGAAUAAGCACCGGCUAACUACGUGCCAGCAGCCGCGGUAAUACGUAGGGUGCAAGCGUUAAUCGGAAUUACUGGGCGUAAAGCGUGCGCAGGCGGCUUUGCAAGACAGAUGUGAAAUCCCCGGGCUCAACCUGGGAACUGCAUUUGUGACUGCAAGGCUAGAGUACGGUAGAGGGGGAUGGAAUUCCGCGUGUAGCAGUGAAAUGCGUAGAUAUGCGGAGGAACACCGAUGGCGAAGGCAAUCCCCUGGACCUGUACUGACGCUCAUGCACGAAAGCGUGGGGAGCAAACAGGAUUAGAUACCCCGGUAGUC